AUUGAACGCUGGCGGCAUGCUUUACACAUGCAAGUCGAACGGUAACAGGCCUUCGGGUGCUGACGAGUGGCGGACGGGUGAGUAAUGCAUCGGAACGUGCCCAGAGGUGGGGGAUAACGCAGCUAAAGCUGUGCUAAUACCGCAUGUGAUCUGAGGAUGAAAGCGGGGGACCAGGCAGCAAUGUUUGGCCUCGCGCCUUUGGAGCGGCCGAUGUCAGAUUUGGUAGUUGGUGGGGUAAAGGCCUACCCAGCCGCCGAUCUGUAGCUGGUCUGAGAGGACGGCCAGCCACACUGGGACUGAGACACGGCCCAGACUCCUGCGGGAGGCAGCAGUGGGGAAUUUUGGACAAUGGGCGCAAGCCUGAUCCAGCAAUGCCGCGUGCGGGAAGAAGGCCUUCGGGUUGUAAACCGCUUUUGUACGGAACGAAAAGGCUCUGGCUAAUACCUGGGGCUGAUGACGGUACCGGAAGAAUAAGCACCGGCUAACUACGUG
This 492-nucleotide ribosomal RNA is filed under the name uncultured bacterium. RNAcentral describes it as "partial 16S ribosomal RNA". It matches the Rfam family "Bacterial small subunit ribosomal RNA", at positions 30 to 507 of the family's 1533-position model. The record is from RNAcentral.